RNAcentral lists this ribosomal RNA (317 nucleotides) under uncultured Bacillota bacterium. RNAcentral's name for it is "bacterial SSU rRNA". It matches the Rfam family "Bacterial small subunit ribosomal RNA", at positions 28 to 351 of the family's 1533-position model. Lineage: Bacteria; Bacillati; Bacillota. The record is from RNAcentral.
GACGAACGCUGGCGGCGUGCCUAACACAUGCAAGUCGAGCGGAGUUGCGCAAGCAACUCAGCGGCGGACGGGUGAGUAACGCGUGAGUAACCUGGCCUAUACAGGGGGAUAACAACGAGAAAUUGUUGCUAAUACCGCAUAAGACCACAGCACCGCAUGGUGUGGAGGUCAAAGAUUUAUUGGUAUAGGAUGGACUCGCGUCCCAUUAGCUAGUUGGUAAGAUAACAGCCUACCAAGGCAACGAUGGGUAGCCGACCUGAGAGGGUGAUCGGCCACACUGGGACCUGAGACACGGCCCAGACUCCUACGGGAGGCAG